CGCGUACCAGAUUUUGAAAAUCGGGAAUCUGUCCAGAACGGCAAAUUUGCACCACGCCAUACACAUCACUUGUCCUCCGGAACAGAUUGGACUCACUGCAUCAUACCCCCGUCCUCCUUGGUCGUACGUCGCCGCCGGAGCACAACCCCAUAACAUGGAAGAAAACCUGAACAGGAUGAGAAGCCCCCCGAGUGCUGAGGACCUCAAAAGGUGGCUAGCAAUCUUGUCGAGCUCGGGG
RNAcentral lists this long non-coding RNA (238 nucleotides) under Hordeum vulgare. RNAcentral's name for it is "long non-coding RNA (HVUL_LNC005846)". Lineage: Eukaryota; Viridiplantae; Streptophyta; Magnoliopsida; Poales; Poaceae. The record is from RNAcentral.